Molecule: unclassified non-coding RNA, 312 nt
Filed under: plant metagenome
Description: partial contains 5.8S ribosomal RNA, internal transcribed spacer 2, and large subunit ribosomal RNA
Rfam family: 5.8S ribosomal RNA (bases 1-103)
Source: RNAcentral
AAUGCGAUAAUUAAUGUGAAUUGCAGAAUUCAGUGAAUCAUCGAGUCUUUGAACGCACACUGCGCCCCCUGGUAUUCCGGGGGGCAUGCCUGUCCGAGCGUCAUUGCUGCCCUCAAGCACGGCUUGUGUGUUGGGCUUCCGUCCCUGGCAACGGGGACGGGCCCAAAAGGCAGUGGCGGCACCAUGUCUGGUCCUCGAGCGUAUGGGGCUUUGUCACCCGCUCCCGUAGGUCCAGCUGGCAGCUAGCCUCGCAACCAAUCUUUUUAACCAGGUUGACCUCGGAUCAGGUAGGGAUACCCGCUGAACUUAAGC